This is a long non-coding RNA of Anolis carolinensis (green anole), 1313 nucleotides long. RefSeq lists it as uncharacterized. Lineage: Eukaryota; Metazoa; Chordata; Lepidosauria; Squamata; Anolidae. The record is from RefSeq and is a predicted model, not a curated record. The transcript has 2 exons.
UUCUUCAAGCUUUACCUCAGUUCUUGUGCCUGUUAUGCAUAGCUCCUUUUUGUGCAUUUUCCAGAUUCUGAGGACUCAGAAAUUCUCAUCUAUCAAAAUUCUUUGGCAACUCUGUGCAAUCAUCAAAUGUUAUUUUCUAUGAUUAACAGGAGGGAUGCCUGAAAAAUCCUUUCCUAGCCAAGAACAAGCCUUAUCUGGUACUUGUUCUUCUUCUCCCCAUUUUAUCAGCGUCCUUAAAAACAGAUAGCUCUGAUUCUGCCAAGCAGCAGGUUGAAAGGAUUGCUUUAAGUGGCACCUUGUGGAGUUGGUAGAGGAAGGCAGAAAUUGGAGUCUCAGGGAGGCAGCAAGGUAUUUUUUUUAAGUGUUAGCAGGCAAGCACCAUUUGGGCAGCACAAUGUCUUGCAUCAGUAAAUAGAUAAGACAGGCAGAAAAACAACAUGGAUAGUAAACUUUCCAUUGUUUAGAAAGAUUUGUUUUCAAAGGUAUCCACUGAUUUUUAAUUUAUGAAGACCCUAAGGGUAACAUGUUGUAUUCAAACAUGUUGCCAUUCUAAAUUCUUUUUUGUAGGCUUGUAGUUAACAAUCCAAAUGGGCUAGCACAGCUGUAGCUUACUUGUUCAACGGACAAGGAAUGGAGGAGGAGGAAUAGAGACUGGUUGUGUAUGUGUUCUUUAGGAAAUGUAAUAAGGUCAAAUUUCCUCUACAAUGAUCCACAUAUGGAGGCAGUGGUGCAAUCUGCAUGGUACAGCAAGCAGUGAGCAGGAACAGUUCUACCAAACUGGUUGCAAUAACAGCUGAACCCGCAUCGGAACUGAGACCAUAGUCUGUGCUGGGCUUUCUAUUUUCGGCACAGUAAUGUUGGCUUUAGAUUGUUAUGUAGGUUGCUUGAAUGCUGUUCUAUAAACAGAUUAGCAGACUUGGAGCUCACUUUAUUAUGAGCAGACUAGAUCAUUUCUCUUCUUGGUUUUGCCAUUUUGAAAAUUGAUUCAAUUUUAAAAAGUGCUCCUUUAUUGCUCUGUAUCUCCUGACUAUGUUGUGAAUGAAGCUGAUGACUCAUUCAAAGGAAAACGAAAGCACUGAUGUCCUUCUGUAUAGACUGCCUUUGACUGGAGGUUGUUCUUUUGGGAUGAACCCAAGAACUCACCUACAAGGACAAAAUAUUUGGUCACUGUUAGAGAAAGGAACAUUCUUUGCAGAUUAAAGACAUUCCUUUAACUGCUAAUUGGAAAAUUAUUUUUUUCAGAAUGUAUACUACUGAACUAAUGCUUCAUUUUAAUUAUCAAUCAUAGCAAUAAAGAUUGUGUUGUUUACAAA